ACCUCUCAUGUCCACAGCAACAAGAGCUGCCGCGAAUCGAGGAGGAAAGGUCGCCACUGUGGUCGGAGACCGGGCUACCGACGCCGGGGGCACGGCGGGCAGCGCCGGUGCGACGCACGGCGGAACAGGAAACGAACAGCGCGGCAGUGAGGAGGUUGUGUGCUCCACGGCUAGGGCUAUGUCAAUGUCAGGAUAUCAAGACGGGGAUGAUGAUUGGGCGUGGCACUGAAAAACAAGGGCUUUAUUAUGUAGACAGGAUGGCCCACCACGGUACUGCGAUGCUGACUCACGGACCGACUUCAUCACAAGCCUUGAUUUGGCAUCGCCGGUUAGGACAUCCGUCUAUAGGAUAUUUACGUCUUCUGUUUCCUAAACUUACUAGCAAUCUUUCCCAUUUGAAUUGUGAAACUUGUUUUUUGGCCAAGAGCCACAGACACACGUUUAAAUUUAGUAAUACCCGUGAGAAGGUUCCUUUUUCCAUUGUUCA
This is a non-coding RNA of Salvia hispanica, 487 nucleotides long. NCBI's taxonomy places the organism in Eukaryota, Viridiplantae, Streptophyta, Magnoliopsida, Lamiales, Lamiaceae. The record is from RefSeq and is a predicted model, not a curated record.